CUCAAAGAUUAAGCCAUGCAAGUGGUUAUAUUAACCCGACAGUUUAAAUAAGUGUUAAAAUGCUACCCAUACACACUCAUACACGCAUUAUACGAGAUUGCUUACGGUAGCAACGAUUUCAGCGUGAAUCACACCCUACAGUGAAUCACUGCAAUGAAUUUCAUUCAGUAUCACUUACGCAACUGCAGACAGCUGCUUAAUACAGUCACACUUGUCUUGACUUGGCUCAUAUAUUAUAUGAUAUUCGCGUAUCAUAUAUAUAUACUGUACACACAUACAUUGAUUUCUCUGUAUCGCUUGUCUUAUAAGGAGAUGCGUUACACCGUGACAAUUUUCUUUAUGGAUAACUCAGGGAAAGUUUGGCUAAUACGUACGAGUAAUAACCUCAUCACACACAUACACAUACACAUACACCAAUGUAUAUGUAAGACACACACUACUCAGCACUCAAUGGUAAACUUUGGCUUCGUUCGCGUCACCAGUUUAAAGUUUAACUGCAACAUGAGAGACAUUGAGCACGCACGUGUCGCGCCUUCGGGUGCCUCACAUCUACGCUGAGCAGACUUUGCGAAGUUUACUUUGCGAAGCAUGUCAUACAAGCAUCUACAGCAUCAAGUCACAGGGUUGGCAAGUGUAUUUUUGAACCUUCAAAGCAGUCACGCAUACGGAAGAGUAGUUUCUGAUCCCAUAGAAGGAGCACCGUACAAUGAGAGACCGCUCUUAGUUCUAAGGAACGCAGCAGGCGCGUAAAUUGCCCAAUGCUAGUACCCUACAAUCACAUACACGAUUGAUAUUAUUACGCGUUAACAAUUUACUGACAACACACACACAUACACUGUGUGCAGCAUAUAUAACACAUUAUAUUUAUUCUGUCACCCGACAGAACACACACACAUCCUUGUUCACGUAAAUAUCCUCGCUAUAUGUAAUUAAUUUUACUGAGGCAGUGACAAGCUGUAACGGUUGAGUAUAAAAAUGACGAGUGUCUGGCAUUGCCGCUCCUUCGGGAGCUUGGCAAGUUGCCGACGCUUUGUGUGCUCAAUUGGAAUGCGGUGAGUUUAAGCAACUCAGAACCUUUGACCGGUGUUUGUAAUAUUUCACUGUUCAUGUAUCUGAAUUUCAAGUGGAGGGCAAGUCUGGUGCCAGCAGCCGCGGUAAUACCAGCUCCACUGGCCUAUACAAUCAUUGUUGCGGUUAAGAGGCUCGUAGUUGGAUUGAACUGCAAACACUACAUGAAUGAAUUCUAUUCGUUCUGCGUUUGAUAGUUUUACGUGUCACGUAUUUUAUACGUUUCGCGUAUCGACGCUACCUAACAUGAAAUUAUUACCACGUAUACGGUUUACCGUGUUACAGUGAUAUUUCUUAUUAUACUAGCACACUCGCUCUGCUGUAUCGCAACACACACAUACACACCCACACUGCAGCAACUGAGUGAUCAGUAUAUACCAUUUACGUCAUGGUAUGAUACACGCAGAGAAUUGAAUACAUUCUCUUAUUUCAACACUGUGAACAAAUCAGAGUGUAUCAAACAUGUCGUUUUUGAAUGUGCAUUGAAUGUCUUAUCAUGGGAUGUUGCACUUUCAGCCUGUUAAGAAUUAUUACGUACAUACGCUGCGCAUAAUAUUCACACACAUACACACCCGAUGCAGCAGUGGUAAGCUUACUAUACGCUAUGUAAAAAAUUCAUAACGGUUAUAAAUGUCGAUGGGGAUAGUUGGAGUCAACAGUACUGCUGGGCGAGAGGUGAAAUUCAUUGACCCUAGCAAGACUACCAAAAGCGAAAGCAGUUGGCUAGGCUAUACUCUUUGUGCUUGCGCAGGUGAUUAAUCAUUAUAUGCACAUGCAGUCACACACAUACACGCACACUUCUGCAGUAGUGACAUAUAAUAUAUAUUACAUUACCACACAGCGCAUUACACUUUACAAUGAAGAACGAAGGUUGGGGGAUCAAAGAGGAUCAGAUACCCUCGUCGUCCCAUUAAUUACAUCAAACGAUGGGCUCUCAAUUGCAUUUUCUUUUAAAUUGCAAAUCUCCUCAGCCUACAAAAUGACUUGGCUUGAGCUCGUAACUCUGUUACGCUCGCCUGACUAUUUUCGUACGGUCUCGAUGGACGUUUCAUUUAAUUAUCUUUGCGUGUAAGCAUUGUACUAAUCUUUGAAACACAAGAUUGUACUGCGUGCACUUGAUUUUCGGAGCUUUGCGCUCAAUUCUGGUGAGAUGUAAGCAGUAUGUUAUAUUACCCGCAGUGUAUGUCUUUGGACAUUUCAUCUGUCGUGUUGUAAUUAACACCAUUUACUGUGAAGCACGCUUUAGGCACGCGCUUACUGCAGAAAUGUCUGAGAUCUUCAUCUCCGGGGGUAGUAUGCACGCAAGUGUGAAACUUGAAGGAAUUGACGGAAGGGCACCACAAGAACGCGUGGAGCAUGUGGCUUAAUUUGACUCAACGCGGGAAAUCUUACCGGGUCCGGACACACUGAGGAUUGACAGGUAUUAUUGUAUGAUCACCAUUUUUAUGUGUGUAUCAUACAUGUUAAAUAUGCUAGUCCUUUCAUGAUUAUGUGAUAGGUGGUACAUGGCCGUUCUUAGUUCGUGGAGUGAUCUGUCUGCUUAAUUGCGUUUCACUAAGGGCCUAUAAUUUACGUAUGUUGCGGCGCUUUGACCCCUCUUAAUUGAGCGCGUGUAUUUGUUUGCUUAGCACAUACAAUUAGGACCAGAAAGCAACGAACGUGACCGCAACCUCUUGUUGCCUCUAUACCAAACACAUAGUUGUAUCUUUAUGAUUACGUUUGUGCAAAGAGGCCUUUUAAACUAGAGGGACCGCUGUUACUUUCUUAAACCAGAGGAAGGUUGCGGCAAUAACAGGUCUGUGAUGCCCUUAGAUGUUCCGGGCUGCACACGUGCUACAAUGAUUAUUGCAGUGAGCAUCUCAUUUUUACACACCGCAUGCGCGAGUCUAUUUAUUCACCUUUAGUGUGCUUUAAAUAUGUAUCUCUGCGCGCGGUAAAGCCUGCUUCGAAAGUAAGUGGGUAAUCAAUUAGAAGUAAUGAUUUCCUUAUAUAGCACACAUAUAUACGGCAUCUUUACCCGGCUUACCUUGUUGUAAGUUUCUUGUGUGUAUUGAUGUUUUUUCCGUAUGUGCGAUUGUCAAUUCAUGGUGGGGACAGACCAUUGUUAAUUGUUGGUCUCGGUCUUAACUAGGAAUGCCUUGUACGGGUCUUUGGUUCAACAAACCACCCGGAAUACGUCCCUGCCCUUUGUACACACCGCCCGUCGCUCUUACCGAUGGACUUCUCUGUGAGUUUGAGGGACUGGGAACGCAUAUAAUUCAUUAUAUGCACACCUAUGGAAACUUAAACGAACAGUGUGGUCUAAAGGAAAGAGAAGUCGUAACAAGGCAUCGGUAGGUGAACCUGCAGAAGGAUCA
RNAcentral lists this ribosomal RNA (3425 nucleotides) under Heterostegina depressa. Its description in RNAcentral is "SSU rRNA". It matches the Rfam family "Eukaryotic small subunit ribosomal RNA". Lineage: Eukaryota; Foraminifera; Rotaliida; Nummulitidae. The record is from RNAcentral.